GGAUGCGAUCAUACCAGCACUAAAGCACCGGAUCCCAUCAGAACUCCGAAGUUAAGCGUGCUUGGGCGAGAGUAGUACUAGGAUCGGUUACCUCCUGGGAAGUCCUCGUGUUGCAUUCC
RNAcentral lists this ribosomal RNA (119 nucleotides) under Triticum dicoccoides. The record is from RNAcentral. Lineage: Eukaryota; Viridiplantae; Streptophyta; Magnoliopsida; Poales; Poaceae.